CCUACGGGAGUCUGCAGUGAGGAAUAUUGGUCAAUGGGCGAGAGCCUGAACCAGCCAAGCAGCGUGAAGGACGAAGGUCCUACGGGUUGUAAACUUCUUUUGUAAAGGAAUAAAGUGAGGCACGUGUGCCUGUAUGUAUGUACUUUAAGAAUAAGGAUCGGCUAACUCCGUGCCAGCAGCCGCGGUAAUACGGAGGAUCCGAGCGUUAUCCGGAUUUAUUGGGUUUAAAGGGAGCGGAGUUGGGUUUUUAAGUCCGUUGUGAAAGUGUGCGGCUCAACCGUAAAAUUGCAGUUGAUACUGGCAGCCUUGAGUACAGUAGAGGUAAGCGGAAGUCGUGGUGUAGCGGUGAAAUGCUUAGAUAUCACGAAGAACUCCAAUGGCGAAGGCAGCCUACUAAACUGCCACUGACGUUGAUGCUCGAAAGUGUGGGUAUCAAACAGGAUGAGAUACCCUUGUAGUC
RNAcentral lists this ribosomal RNA (460 nucleotides) under uncultured bacterium. RNAcentral's name for it is "partial 16S ribosomal RNA". It matches the Rfam family "Bacterial small subunit ribosomal RNA", at positions 338 to 795 of the family's 1533-position model. The record is from RNAcentral.